This 253-nucleotide ribosomal RNA is filed under the name uncultured bacterium. RNAcentral describes it as "partial 16S ribosomal RNA". It matches the Rfam family "Bacterial small subunit ribosomal RNA", at positions 524 to 776 of the family's 1533-position model. The record is from RNAcentral.
UACGGAGGGGGCUAGCGUUGUUCGGAAUUACUGGGCGUAAAGAGCUCGUAGGCGGUCUGUUACGUCUGCUGUGAAAACCCGGGGCUUAACCCUGGGCGUGCAGUGGAUACGGGCAGACUAGAGGCAGGUAGGGGAGAAUGGAAUUCCCGGUGUAGCGGUGAAAUGCGCAGAUAUCGGGAGGAACACCAGUGGCGAAGGCGGCUACCUGGCCCAAUACUGACACUCAGGUGCGACAGCGUGGGGAGCAAACAGG